AGAGUUUGAUCAUGGCUCAGAUUGAACGCUGGCGGCAUGCCUUACACAUGCAAGUCGAACGGUAACGCGGGGCAACCUGGCGACGAGUGGCGAACGGGUGAGUAAUACAUCGGAACGUGCCCAGUAGUGGGGGAUAGCCCGGCGAAAGCCGGAUUAAUACCGCAUACGACCUACGGGUGAAAGCGGGGGAUCGCAAGACCUCGCGCUAUUGGUGCGGCCGAUGUCAGAUUAGGUAGUUGGUGGGGUAAAGGCCUACCAAGCCGACGAUCUGUAGCUGGUCUGAGAGGACGACCAGCCACACUGGGACUGAGACACGGCCCAGACUCCUACGGGAGGCAGCAGUGGGGAAUUUUGGACAAUGGGGGCAACCCUGAUCCAGCCAUGCCGCGUGCGGGAAGAAGGCCUUCGGGUUGUAAACCGCUUUUGUCAGGGAAGAAACGCACUGGGCUAAUACCCCGGUGUAAUGACGGUACCUGAAGAAUAAGCACCGGCUAACUACGUGCCAGCAGCCGCGGUAAUAC
This 521-nucleotide ribosomal RNA is filed under the name uncultured bacterium. Its description in RNAcentral is "bacterial SSU rRNA". It matches the Rfam family "Bacterial small subunit ribosomal RNA", at positions 8 to 526 of the family's 1533-position model. The record is from RNAcentral.